This 253-nucleotide ribosomal RNA is filed under the name uncultured bacterium. RNAcentral describes it as "partial 16S ribosomal RNA". It matches the Rfam family "Bacterial small subunit ribosomal RNA", at positions 524 to 776 of the family's 1533-position model. The record is from RNAcentral.
UACAGAGGUCUCAAGCGUUGUUCGGAUUCAUUGGGCGUAAAGGGUGCGUAGGCGGCGCGGUAAGUCGGGUGUGAAAUCUCGGAGCUUAACUCCGAAACUGCAUUCGAUACUGCCGUGCUUGAGGACUGGGGAGGAGACUGGAAUUUACGGUGUAGCGGUGAAAUGCGUAGAUAUCGUAAGGAAGACCAGUGGCGAAGGCGGCAUCCUGGACCAAUUCUGACGCUGAGGAGCGAAAGCCAGGGGAGCAAACGGG